GAGCACGUAGGUGGGUUUGUAAGUCAGAUGUGAAAGCCUUCUGUUCAACGGAAGAAUUGCAUCUGAAACUGCGAGUCUUGAGUGUAGGAGGGGAGAAUGGAACUUCUGGUGGAGCGGUGAAGUGCGUAGAUAUCAGAAGGAACUCCGGCGGUGAAAGCGAUUCUCUGGCCUAUUACUGACACUCAGUGUGCGAAAGCUAGGGGAGCAAACGGGAUUAGCUACCCCGGUAGUCCUAGCCGUAAACGAUGGGCACUAAGUAGAGGGGUUUU
RNAcentral lists this ribosomal RNA (269 nucleotides) under uncultured Planctomycetales bacterium. RNAcentral's name for it is "partial 16S ribosomal RNA". It matches the Rfam family "Bacterial small subunit ribosomal RNA", at positions 565 to 832 of the family's 1533-position model. Lineage: Bacteria; Pseudomonadati; Planctomycetota; Planctomycetia; Planctomycetales. The record is from RNAcentral.